Molecule: non-coding RNA, 23 nt
Filed under: Arabidopsis thaliana (thale cress)
Lineage: Eukaryota; Viridiplantae; Streptophyta; Magnoliopsida; Brassicales; Brassicaceae
Source: RNAcentral
UGUUAUUCCAUGGUGGUGGAAAU